RNAcentral lists this ribosomal RNA (254 nucleotides) under uncultured bacterium. RNAcentral describes it as "partial 16S ribosomal RNA". It matches the Rfam family "Bacterial small subunit ribosomal RNA", at positions 524 to 776 of the family's 1533-position model. The record is from RNAcentral.
UACGGAGGGGGCUAGCGUUGUUCGGAAUUACUGGGCGUAAAGCGCACGUAGGCGGACUGUUAAGUCAGGGGUGAAAUCCUGGAGCUCAACUCCAGAACUGCCUUUGAUACUGAGGAGCUUGGAGUCCGGGAGAGGCGAGUGGAACUGCGAGUGUAGAGGUGAAAUUCGUAGAUAUUCGCAAGAACACCAGUGGCGAAGGCGGCUCACUGGCCCGGUACUGACGCUGAGGUGCGAAAGCGUGGGGAGCAAACAGG